UGACCGCUGGCGGUAGGCCUAACACAUGCACGUCGACCGGCAGCACAGUAAGAGCUUGCUCUUACGGGUGGCGAGUGGCGGACGGGUGAGGAAUACAUCGGAAUCUACUUUUUCGUGGGGGAUAACGUAGGGAAACUUACGCUAAUACCGCAUACGACCUACGGGUGAAAGCAGGGGAUCUUCGGACCUUGCGCGAUUGAAUGAGCCGAUGUCGGAUUAGCUAGUUGGCGGGGUAAAGGCCCACCAAGGCGACGAUCCGUAGCUGGUCUGAGAGGAUGAUCAGCCACACUGGAACUGAGACACGGUCCAGACUCCUACGGGAGGCAGCAGUGGGGAAUAUUGGACAAAGGGCGCAAGCCUGAUCCAGCCAUACCGCGUGGGUGAAGAAGGCCUUCGGGUUGUAAAGCCCUUUUGUUGGGAAAGAAAAGCAGCAGGUUAAUACCCCGCUGUUCUGACGGUACCCAAAGAAUAAGCACCGGCUAACUUCGUG
RNAcentral lists this ribosomal RNA (490 nucleotides) under uncultured bacterium. Its description in RNAcentral is "partial 16S ribosomal RNA". It matches the Rfam family "Bacterial small subunit ribosomal RNA", at positions 30 to 507 of the family's 1533-position model. The record is from RNAcentral.